This is a long non-coding RNA of Piliocolobus tephrosceles (Ugandan red Colobus), 1455 nucleotides long. RefSeq lists it as uncharacterized. The record is from RefSeq and is a predicted model, not a curated record. Lineage: Eukaryota; Metazoa; Chordata; Mammalia; Primates; Cercopithecidae. The transcript is spliced from 3 exons.
AACAGGCUCUGCUUUUCAUAAUUGGCUUCAUGAGUGUGGGUUUUGGAAAUAAUUCUAGGGGAACAGAGGGCCUGGAAGAGGAGCCCAAUCAAGUCACUCACUGCAAUAAAUUAAGCAACAACAGUGCACCUUUUCAGAUUAAUGCCAAGAAAAUAUAUGCAGAAGAGCCACCCAUGUCACUGGACAAGAGGUUCUAAUAUUACGUAACAGCAGCCAAGAAGAGCCACCAAGACCGCCUAUGCUGCAGCCAAGAAGAGCCACCAAGACCGCCUAUGCUGCCAGACACAUCACCCGAGAGGCUGUCCAGAUGGCAGGAGAAUCUAGCCCCAGGAUUGGGAUGGAGAUUGCGGGGAGCGGGUGGUGGUGAUGGAUGCCAUUAUUUCCUCGUAUGUCCACUUCAUCCAAAUAGGCUGCUGUCUUUUGAUUCAGAGCUUCCUAUUCAGCCUGCUAACUGUAUUGACCCAAAAGGAUGGGUCAGGGCUAUUUGCAGAUAUGGUACCAAAAACUUGGGCAAGGACUCCUGGAAUCUUCUAUUGACAUUCUGUGCCUCAGGGCAGAGGCUUUCAGGUAUCUGAAUGUAAGCAUAGCGGACGUUUCUGUUAAGAAAAAGAAAGCAAGAAUGUGUCAAAAAUUCUGAAUUUUUCAAAUGCAGUUCAUUUGGUCUUAACUGGUUUGCCACGAAGUCACUUUAAACCUCUUCUCAAACACCUUUCUCUAAAUUACACUGAAAAGUGAUUUGCUGUGUAAAGGAUAGAGAAAGACCUUUCUAGGAAACAGAUUCACUAUACAUUUAUAUCAGAGACGAAUCUGAGCUGAGGUUGCUGCCGGGGGAUCAUUAGGGCAACUUGCGAUAAGAACUGGAAAAUUAUUUACAAAUAAGAUAUUGAUCAGAAGAGUGAAGGGACACUUGAAUAUUUUUGACCCAGGAAAAAUGAAAGAAAGCAAACAAACAAAAAUCACCAGAAAAGCACUGUAAUGCCUGGAGAAUGUGUCUUACCGAUGGGAGUCCAGACACACGGCUUUGAAUUCUCAGUGGGGACUGAUCUGCGACAGCUUCUGUUCUCUUCCUGCUUCUAGGCAGUAAAAAGAAGGACCAGGAUCCGGCAAGAGAACGGGAGGCUGGGUUGACUCCUGCCCAUCUAACCUAAGUGUCAUCUCUGAAAGCAUCCAUAGGGAAUUGACCCCUAUGGCAUUCGCUGACUUAGGGCACACAGGGCAGCUAGCGAUCUCUGAAAAACAAAGGAAAAUUAGGACAUUUAAGAAUAUCUCUUUAGGGUACUGUCAAAGGUUAAAAGAAAUAAAGACCAGGGAACAGAAACAGCUAUGUUAUGUGGAGGACACAGCACAAAAUGAAAAUGAGGACCGCCUUGUUCAAAGAGCAGAAAAAAAAGGUCAUUAGUGGGACUAAAAUGUAAAGCUUUUUCUCUUCUUUCACAGCCUCUCUCUCUCAACUAU